GACGAACGCUGGCGGCGUGCCUAAUACAUGCAAGUUGAGCGCUGAAGGUUGGUACUUGUACCAACUGGAUGAGCAGCGAACGGGUGAGUAACGCGUGGGGAAUCUGCCUUUGAGCGGGGGACAACAUUUGGAAACGAAUGCUAAUACCGCAUAAAAACUUUAAACACAAGUUUUAAGUUUGAAAGAUGCAAUUGCAUCACUCAAAGAUGAUCCCGCGUUGUAUUAGCUAGUUGGUGAGGUAAAGGCUCGCCAAGGCGAUGAUACAUAGCCGACCUGAGAGGGUGAUCGGCCACAUUGGGACUGAGACACGGCCCAAACUCCUACGGGAGGCAGCAGUAGGGAAUCUUCGGCAAUGGACGAAAGUCUGACUGAGCAACGCCGCGUGAGUGAAGAAGGUUUUCGGAUCGUAAAACUCUGUUGGUAGAGAAGAACGUUGGUGAGAGUGGAAAGCUCAUCAAGUGACGGUAACUACCCAGAAAGGGACGGCUAACUACGUG
RNAcentral lists this ribosomal RNA (497 nucleotides) under uncultured bacterium. RNAcentral's name for it is "partial 16S ribosomal RNA". It matches the Rfam family "Bacterial small subunit ribosomal RNA", at positions 28 to 507 of the family's 1533-position model. The record is from RNAcentral.